RNAcentral lists this ribosomal RNA (449 nucleotides) under uncultured bacterium. Its description in RNAcentral is "bacterial SSU rRNA". It matches the Rfam family "Bacterial small subunit ribosomal RNA", at positions 28 to 477 of the family's 1533-position model. The record is from RNAcentral.
GAUGAACGCUGGCGGCGUGCUUAACACAUGCAAGUCGAACGAAGCACUUUAACCUGAUUCUUCGGAUGAAGGUUUUUGUGACUGAGUGGCGGACGGGUGAGUAACGCGUGGGUAACCUGCCUCAUACAGGGGGAUAACAGUUAGGAAUGACUGCUAAUACCGCAUAAGACCACGGAGCCGCAUGGCUCAGUGGGAAAAACUCCGGUGGUAUGAGAUGGACCCGCGUCUGAUUAGGUAGUUGGUGGGGUAACGGCCUACCAAGCCAACGAUCAGUAGCCGACCUGAGAGGGUGACCGGCCACAUUGGGACUGAGACACGGCCCAAACUCCUACGGGAGGCAGCAGUGGGGAAUAUUGCACAAUGGGGGAAACCCUGAUGCAGCGACGCCGCGUGAGCGAAGAAGUAUUUCGGUAUGUAAAGCUCUAUCAGCAGGGAAGAAAAUGACGGUA